GUUAUUAUUAUUAUUGAGGGGAUACAGUUCGGUGGCCUCAGUAUUGGGUCUUUGCUCUUUGCAAAUGAUGUGGUUCUGUUGGCUUCAUCGGGCCGUGAUCUUCAGCUCUCACUGGAGCGAUUCGCAGC
This is a long non-coding RNA of Melanotaenia boesemani (Boeseman's rainbowfish), 128 nucleotides long. RefSeq lists it as uncharacterized. The record is from RefSeq and is a predicted model, not a curated record. Lineage: Eukaryota; Metazoa; Chordata; Actinopteri; Atheriniformes; Melanotaeniidae. The transcript has 3 exons.